Non-coding RNA from Biomphalaria pfeifferi, 1575 nucleotides. NCBI's taxonomy places the organism in Eukaryota, Metazoa, Mollusca, Gastropoda, Planorbidae. The record is from the annotation of a GenBank genome assembly.
GGUUAUACAUCUUUAGUUAUAGGCUAUGCAUCUUAGGUUAUAGGUUAUACACCUUAAGUUAUAGGCUAUGCAUCUUAGGUUAUAGGUUAUACACCUUAAGUUAUAGGUUUUGCAUCUAAAUUUAUAGGUUAUACUUCUUAAGUUAAGUUCAUUUUCAUUUAUUUGUUGUUUUUUUUACUACCAUUUUUUAGCCCAAUUUUAUUAGUUUUGUUGGCUAGAUUUAAUCUAAUUAUUAGAUUGAAUAUAUUUAUUAGAUUGAAUCUUAUUAUUAUUUUGGUAGACAGAAAAUGUUUGUAAAGAAGACUAAUUGACUAAAUGUUUUUUGAGAAAUGGAUCUUGCUAUUCAUAAAGCUUAAAAUGUAUUUGAAAUCAUUUACUGUGUUGUUAGCAAAGCACUAUAGAUGAUCAUAAGAUUGUAUGGUGGGGAAUUAGACUAAAACAAUUUUUUUUUUUGUCAUUUGUAUUGCUGCAAAUAAUUGUUUCUUAAUCAGCUAUUUUUCUACAUCUAUAUGAUUUUAUGUAAUGUUAAAUUGUCACUUGUUGUUACAUUGUUGCCUGUACUUAGCAUUGAUGGUAAGUAUUUUUGUUUUUUGAGUUUGAAUCUGUUGUUACAUUUCUUAUCUCCUAGUCAGAAACCUUCAAAACUAACUGUUACCUCUCUAUCUACAAUGAAAACCUGAAUGUAUUAAACCUUUACAUUUGGCCAAAUUAAUUUCCUUUACACUUGUUUAUAAGCCAUCUCUUCUUUGGCCAGCAUCACUUCUCUAAAGAGUAACAAUAUAUUGAAUUGAUGAAAUAGUGUUUUUGUGUAUGAGUGAAUGCUUGUAUGUGUCUGUGUAUGAACAGAUUAUUCAUUAAAGAAAUGGAGGAGUGCAUGAAGUCAAUAAAAAGCUUGUUUCUCAACAUCCUAUUGAGGGUUUAGCUCUUAAGUAGCUAAGAAAAGGUGCUAAAUGUUCCACGCAUCACCAUUUUAGCUCCAUUUUAUAAAGCUAUUUGUGACAGUAGGGACAAAGUGAACAUUUCAUUUCCCUUUACUCAAACAUGUCGCAGUUAUCACUGAAUUUUGAAUAAGUAACAAUAUGGCUUUAUUUGGGACCAUUGUUAGGAUUUUUCGCUUAUAAAUUUCUUUUCUUAUAUCUAUAAGAUUUCACUAGUUAAUUGUAUUUAAUAAUAUACUCACCUUUUGUUAAAAAUACAAAGUUCCGAAGAUGAAAUGAAAGUAUAUUACCAACUGAAAUAAAUGUUCUUGGGGAAAAAAUGAUUGCAUAUCUAGUUCUUAUUUCACUAGUUUUUCCACGUUUUUUUUAGAAGGCGUUAUAUAUUUUUUCUAUGAAGUAAUUAUUUAAUGUGCGUCUUAUCUCUAAAAUAGCAGGUAUAUUGUGUUCAAAUCACUGCUAUAAGAAUGAAACUUUUUUUUUGAUAUUUUUAUCUACAAAUGUUAAUGAAAUGUAAAUAAAUGAAUUACAUCGAUGCACGUCUUAUGUGAUUAAUUGAUUGAAGAUAUGAAUUACUAAAACAGUUUUGAGUGACACAGGCUUCUCCUCAAAUCAUUUUUGUUUUGUUUUUAUUGUUUCU